UCUCGUGAAGGAGCUCUCACUCAGCUCCUCCUGUACCAUGCCUGCCUGGAUGCUGCCACACUCCCGCCUUGAUGAUAAUGGACUGAAUCUCUGAACCUGUUGCAGUGCUGAGCUACACCGAUGGGAAGAGUCACGUGAACAGGACUUGUACAGAAUGCCCCCUUCUUCGAGGAAGCCACCUUGGUCUACCAGAGGUCAUACCCCCUUUCCUGAUCUCUUAGUUUUCCAGCUGACGGAUUAAUUCUGCUUGGAACCCGUAUCUCUCCCAUGGUUUGUACCUGAGCUGGGUCCCAUCAGCUUGGUUCUGGUCUUGUGGUUCUCCGUUCUGGAGCAUGCAAAGGCCCUAAGUCAGGGAAUGGGUCUGACUGGCGUUCUGAUUGGAAGUUCCAACCAGAGCGAAGGGGAGGUGACUGUGUUUCUUAUCUCAAGUGUCUUGAUCCAUUAUCCACUCACUCCUGACCAUUUUAACCUGUGCCAGGCCCUGUAAUCCGUGCCAGGGAGCCUCCAUUAGGUCUACCUCGCCACGCCCUGGCAUCGGGGCUCCCAGCGUUGUGGCGGUCCUCUUCCUCUUGUUUUCAGGUUCUAUGUCCCAGGACAGGAAGACGCUCAACCUCCGAAGCCCCCAUCUAUUCCUGACCUCAGGUUCCGAGCGGUGCUGCCCCUAACCCCGAGUCCCGCGCGUCUUC
This 686-nucleotide long non-coding RNA is filed under the name Rattus norvegicus (Norway rat). RNAcentral's name for it is "long non-coding RNA NONRATT001834". The record is from RNAcentral. Lineage: Eukaryota; Metazoa; Chordata; Mammalia; Rodentia; Muridae.